AAGAACAGCAGUGACACAGCAACAAGGGGACAGUUCAGCUCAGAGAUGGACGGGACCAUUUGAACAAUGUCCCUGGAUUCAGAAGAGUCCUGAUCCUGCUCUGCUCUUCAAGUCAUUGGCAAAGCCACAAAGUGAUGGCCAGGAGCUCUCUUGGAUUUUGUGGUUGCUGCUGCGGCAACAGAAAAUGACACAGGCAAAGAAGCUGCUUCUUCAUGCCAAGCAUGGAAGUCAAAUGAGCCAAAGGAAAAUGAACAGAGAUUGAUCACUUCGCUGUUUGCUGACUGCAUUGAAUUUCUUGACUCUGAAGAU
Long non-coding RNA from Anolis carolinensis (green anole), 309 nucleotides. RefSeq lists it as uncharacterized. The transcript has 3 exons. NCBI's taxonomy places the organism in Eukaryota, Metazoa, Chordata, Lepidosauria, Squamata, Anolidae. The record is from RefSeq and is a predicted model, not a curated record.